This 288-nucleotide long non-coding RNA is filed under the name Manihot esculenta (cassava). Its description in RNAcentral is "long non-coding RNA (MESC_LNC013032)". The record is from RNAcentral. Lineage: Eukaryota; Viridiplantae; Streptophyta; Magnoliopsida; Malpighiales; Euphorbiaceae.
UGAGAUCCAAUAGAAUAGGGUUUUACAAGGGUUUUGAUCCUGAAAAAUAAUCUUAAAAAACUUAUGCUACCUGGGGAGAAAGCUCCCCUUUUAUCCAUUUCGCUUUGCUUACUGGUGACGUAUAAAGGCCUCUCCGUGAUUGGGACACGCUUCUCUAACAUACAGAUUCGGGUGUACGAGGGUAUCAGCCGCCUGCUCCAUGCGUAACGGCCUCUGAUUCUCCUUGUGUGUACGUUCGAGCAGAUCUGCCAGGCUGUCUGAGUAGGGCUCUAGAUACUGGGCUGGGCC